RNAcentral lists this long non-coding RNA (1819 nucleotides) under Homo sapiens (human). Its description in RNAcentral is "non-protein coding lnc-PPARA-11:6". The record is from RNAcentral. Lineage: Eukaryota; Metazoa; Chordata; Mammalia; Primates; Hominidae.
AGAGGCCCCGCCAGGACCUGCAGCCCUGGGCGCCCCAGCAGCCCGGCCCUGCUCAGCGCAGCUCUGGGUUGGAACUUGCACUUUCCAGUAACUCGGACCUCCCCCCGGCCGCCUUCCCAGGCGCCACCGGGCCCAGCAGAUCGUCACCGUCCAGGUGCAGGGUGGGGGUGUGUGAAAGUCAGGCCUGGGACCCGGGCAAGUUGCUGCCGUGCCCUCUGGCUUCCCGGGGGACAUCCUUCACCUUUGUGCGCCCAAACCCUCUGUGCUGCGGUUCCAACCCCCCUCCACAUUCCCGCCUGCUCCUCCGGGCCUGCCCGUUCCCUCUGCCUUCCUGGGAACCUCCCUCUAUCUCCGCAUCUUCCGCCGCUCCCUUCCCUGCGGCAGCCGGCGGGCUCCGACUCUCGCUCUUCAGGGAACACCGCCCUUGGCGCCACGCCCACCUCCACCCGCGGCCACCUUCCCUCCCUCCCACCGCCAGACCUUCAAGACAGGAUCUACCCCGGGCGGCCCCCAGCACAGGUCUCAGCCCCCUCCAGACUGGGGUUGUCGCCACCCUCCACUGAAAUGGCGGCAGCCAGCUCCCUCCUGCCGCAGCCGGUGGCAGCCAGCUCCAGGCCUGGCCGGCCCCGCCCACCCUGUGUCUCGAGUGGCACCCACGGCGCUGUCCCUGUCCCGCCUGUCUUCUCGUGACCUCAUCCGGCUCCAGACUCUCACAUGUUUACGCCUUCAGCCCUGCCCAGCCCUGGACCCCAAGUCCCCUCCAAUAUUUCUUUUUCCUUUCUUGUAUUUUUAUUUAUUUAUUUAUUUAUUUAUUGAGACAGUUUCGCUCUUGUCGCCCAGGCUGGAGUGCAGUGGCGCGAUCUCGGCUCACCGCAACCUCCGUCUCCCCGGUUCAAGCGAUUCUCCUGCCUCAGCCUCCCAAGUAGCUGGGAUUACAGGCGUGUGCCACCACGCCCGGCGAAUGUUGUAUUUUCAGUAGAGACGGGGUUUCAGCAUGUUGGUCAAGCUGGUCUCUAACUCUUGAUCUCAAGUGAACCACCAGCCUCAGCCUCCCAAAGUGCUGGGAUUACAGGCGUGAGCCACCGCGCACGGCUAUCCCUUCCAAUAUUUCCGAGGCCAGCUGCCCAGAGAAGGAGGGCUGGGUGGAGAGGACCGUGCCAGCAGCAGUAGGCCUGGGCCAGGAGACAGGCACGCACCUCCGCGGUCUCUGGCGAGUCUAUGUCCACACAGCGGCAGGACCUCCACCCCCAGCCACCUGCAGCAGCCCCACAUCUCCACCGGGUCACCCUGCUGACAUCAAGAGUGCCUCCCGCAAUGUCCCAACCCAUGAGGGCUUCUUGGAGCUGAACCAGGGCACCGGCCACUUCUGGAGGGGGGCUGCUCGUGACUUCCGACCUCUGUCUCGCUAGUUGGCAUGAGAAGACUGGACUCCUUCUGCAGGCCUCAGGGCAGAGGCAGAUGUCAGCCCCCAGGGAUGUCACUGCCAGAACCCCAGAUGCCCCAAGCCAUCUGGACUCCCCCUGUGCAGUAUCUCUGCUACAAUAAAAUGUACCCAGAUCUGAGUCCUCUCACCUGGGCGACUGCCAAUGUCCCCUGCGGCCCUAUACCCCGCCCCCAGGAGCCCAGAGGAUCUUUCUUUUUAAAGAUAUUCAGACCUCACAGAUAAGUCUGCCCUGACCAGCCCCUCCCCAGUUCCCAGGCCCUAUCCUGACAACGGCCACAACUUCAGAGCAGCUGAAACCUGCUGUGAGUGAAAAAUGAGAAGCUGUUGUUUUAAUUUUACUUUCUCUGAUUACUAAUGAGGUUAUUUCUUCUCUGC